AGUGGGAUAACUGGGUCAAAUGGUGGUUCUAUUCCAAGUUUUCUGAGGAAUCUCCAUACUGCUUUCCAGAAUGGUUAAACUAAUUUGCAGUCCCACCAGCAAU
This 103-nucleotide microRNA precursor is filed under the name Marmota monax (woodchuck). The record is from RNAcentral. Lineage: Eukaryota; Metazoa; Chordata; Mammalia; Rodentia; Sciuridae.